GUUUGAUCCUGGCUCAGAAUCAACGCUGGCGGCGUGCCUAACACAUGCAAGUCGAACGAGAAAGGGUAGCAAUACCUGAGUAAAGUGGCGCACGGGUGAGUAACACGUGAAUCAUCUACCUCCGAGUGGGGAAUAACCUAGAGAAAUCUGGGCUAAUACCGCAUAACACUUACGAGUCAAAGCAGCAAUGCGCUUGGAGAGGAGUUCGCGGCAGAUUAGUUAGUUGGCAGGGUAAUGGCCUACCAAGACAAUGAUCUGUAUCCGGCCUGAGAGGGCGCACGGACACACUGGAACUGAAACACGGUCCAGACUCCUACGGGAGGCAGCAGUGGGGAAUUUUGCGCAAUGGGGGAAACCCUGACGCAGCAACGCCGCGUGGAGGAUGAAAUCCCUUGGGAUGUAAACUCCUUUCGAUCGGGACGAUAAUGACGGUACCGAUAGAAGAAGCCCCGGCUAACUUCGUGCCAGCCGCCGCGGUAAUACGAAGGGGGCUAGCGUUGUUCGG
This 505-nucleotide ribosomal RNA is filed under the name Durinskia baltica. RNAcentral's name for it is "partial Bacterial small subunit ribosomal RNA". It matches the Rfam family "Bacterial small subunit ribosomal RNA", at positions 11 to 548 of the family's 1533-position model. The record is from RNAcentral. Lineage: Eukaryota; Dinophyceae; Peridiniales; Kryptoperidiniaceae.